UGAGGAAUAUUGGGCAAUGCCCGCAAGGGUGACCCAGCAACGCCGCGUGGAGGAUGAAUGUCGUAAGAUUGUAAACUCCUGUUAGAGGGGAAGAAUAGUACCGGUUGGACCGGUAUAUGACUGUACCCUCAGAGAAAGCCCCGGCUAACUACGUGCCAGCAGCCGCGGUAAUACGUAGGGGGCAAGCGUUGUCCGGAUUUACUGGGUGUAAAGGGCGCGCAGGCGGGAUAAAAAGUCAGUGGUGAAAUCCUGCAGCUUAACUGUAGAACUGCCUUUGAUACUUUGAUUCUUGAGUUCGGGAGAGAGAGACAGAAUUCCAGGUGUAGUGGUGAAAUACGUAGAUAUCUGGAAGAACACCAGUUGCGAAGGCGGUCUCUUGGUCCGACACUGACGCUGAGGCGCGAAAGCGUGGGGAGCAAACA
Molecule: ribosomal RNA, 422 nt
Filed under: uncultured bacterium
Lineage: Bacteria
Description: bacterial SSU rRNA
Rfam family: Bacterial small subunit ribosomal RNA
Source: RNAcentral